GCACAAUUAGCAAUGGAAAUCUUUUGAUUCGAUUUCUUUUAUUUUUCCACAUGAAAUGACAUUUGAAAGAAACAUCCAACUUCAGAUCGAAAACCCUCUAUCAAAUCAAUGUCAUGCUUUGUUUAUGAAAGAAGCAAGACCUCUGAACAUGCUCUUAGCAUUCUCUGUAUUGGGAUCAAAGAUAUGGAAGACGUGAUCCUCCCCUUUGUUCUCCAUAAGCUCUGCAGUUCCUUUCCAUCCGCUGCGCACUAAUUUUUCAUGAUAAAGCUUUCCUCUAUCCCUCAGUAUGUCAUUCUCUGCGACAAUAACUAGCACCCUGUUGCAAGCCAACCGUUCAAGACUAGGAGAUCCAUCGGUAAAUGGGUUAAUGAGUAGAUCAUCACAUCCUUUCUGGGAUGGGCAGAUGAACGUCCACCAGUUAUCCACCAAUGAUCUCCUCACAUGAUCAGUCUUUUCUACUCCAACCGGAUCUUUUCCCCAGAAGUAAGGAUGGAUCAUAGCAAUGCCUUGAAUAUUCAGUUCUCUACCCAGUUCUGAUCCCUUGAGCUUCAAGGCCAAAUGAUGAGCCAUAUUAGCACCGCAGCUGUCUCCUCCCAAGAACACCCGUCCAAAGUCAACAUAAUCCUUGAGCCAUGCCUCCUGCCCAUCAUCUCCACUAGCAUGGGCAGCCACCCAGUGAAGUGCAGCCCAGGAGUCCUCAUAUGCUGCCGGAAGAGGGUUCUCUGGGGCUAACCUGUAGUCAACCGAGACAACAACGAUGUUUGCCUCGGCCACUAGCUUGUUGAGAGAAUGAUGGUACUUGGGGUCUGCAGUGGAUGAUAUGAAGAAGCCACCACCAUGAUAGUAGAUAACAAGAGGAAGCUUUUGGCCAGCUUUUGUUGAACUGGGACGGUAGAGCCUAGCCGAGACACGAGUUUCUGGUAUGAUAAGAAUGUCUUUGGACAAAACACCAGUUGCAGGAUCCAAACCUGCAGGAACAACUUCUGUACCAGCAAAUCGCUCGAUGGUCCCAUCUUUGUACACCCGAAGGUAAGGAAAAACUUCACGGGACACUUGUGCUUUUUCUGAAACCAUCUGAAUUCAGAUCUAUGGAGAGGGAGAGAAUAUUAGUGAAGAAAAGAGUAUGAUUUCUAUGAGCAGAGGGAUGGCAUUUAUAUACACCAAGAGGGGUCUUCCAUUUCUUUUUUUUUCUGUUUAAUUUUCUUUGUCUACCAUUAAAUAACACAUUACAUAACACAGCACAUCACAUGUAUAGUGGAAAUUUU
RNAcentral lists this unclassified non-coding RNA (1265 nucleotides) under Hevea brasiliensis (rubber tree). Lineage: Eukaryota; Viridiplantae; Streptophyta; Magnoliopsida; Malpighiales; Euphorbiaceae. The record is from RNAcentral.